RNAcentral lists this ribosomal RNA (468 nucleotides) under uncultured bacterium. RNAcentral describes it as "partial 16S ribosomal RNA". It matches the Rfam family "Bacterial small subunit ribosomal RNA", at positions 28 to 507 of the family's 1533-position model. The record is from RNAcentral.
GACGAACGCUGGCGGCGUGCUUAACACAUGCAAGUCGAACGGAAAGGCCCUGCUUUUGUGGGGUGCUCGAGUGGCGAACGGGUGAGUAACACGUGAGUAACCUGCCCUUGACUUUGGGAUAACUUCAGGAAACUGGUGCUAAUACCGGCUAGGAGCUCCUGCUGCAUGGUGGGGGUUGGACAGUUUCGGCGGUUGGGGAUGGACGCGCGGCUUAUCAGCUUGUUGGUGGGGUAGUGGCUUACCAAGGCUUUGACGGGUAGCCGGCCUGAGAGGGUGACCGGCCACAUUGGGACUGAGAUACGGCCCAGACUCCUACGUGAGGCAGCAGUGGGGAAUAUUGCACAAUGGGCGGAAGCCUGAUGCAGCAACGCCGCGUGCGGGAUGACGGCCUUCGGGUUGUAAACCGCUUUCGCCUGUGACGAAGCGUGAGUGACGGUAAUGGGUAAAGAAGCACCGGCUAACUACGUG